AUAUCCAUCGAAUGGAUACCAUGUAGCUAAUCUUGCUCUAUUUUUACUUAGCUUAACAAGUUUUGUAUUUGACACCGCUAAUGUAGUAGAUAUGAAUUUCUCGAGUUACUUCUCAAAAUAGAGCUGAUUCAUAUAUACUUCAUGCAUGAAAAUCUUAUAUACAAAGUGAUUCUUGUCUGCGAGUACCGAUUCGCCAAUGAAAUUGACAUGGGUUGACAAAAUGAAUAUUAAUUUCUAGAGUUACUUUUCCAAACAAAGGUGGUUUAGAUAUGCUUGGAGAUCCCAUGUACAACUGCUUCUUUUGUCAUUCAAUAUUGCCUAGAGAAUCUAGUCUGCAAGUAUUGAUUUACCUAUGAAUUGCAAGUGACCAGGCUGUGCAGCUGAGACGACUUGUCUUGCUGGUUUACCCAAAG
Molecule: long non-coding RNA, 413 nt
Filed under: Elaeis guineensis (African oil palm)
Lineage: Eukaryota; Viridiplantae; Streptophyta; Magnoliopsida; Arecales; Arecaceae
Description: long non-coding RNA (EGUI_LNC019820)
Source: RNAcentral